GAUGAACGCUGGCGGCGUGCUUAACACAUGCAAGUCGAACGGGAAUUACUUUAUUGAAACUUCGGUCGAUUUAAUUUAAUUCUAGUGGCGGACGGGUGAGUAACGCGUGGGUAACCUGCCUUGUACAGGGGGAUAACAGUCAGAAAUGACUGCUAAUACCGCAUAAGCGCACAGGACCGCAUGGUCCGGUGUGAAAAACUCCGGUGGUAUAAGAUGGACCCGCGUUGGAUUAGCUUGUUGGUGGGGUAACGGCCCACCAAGGCGACGAUCCAUAGCCGGCCUGAGAGGGUGAACGGCCACAUUGGGACUGAGACACGGCCCAGACUCCUACGGGAGGCAGCAGUGGGGAAUAUUGCACAAUGGGGGAAACCCUGAUGCAGCGACGCCGCGUGAAGGAAGAAGUAUCUCGGUAUGUAAACUUCUAUCAGCAGGAA
RNAcentral lists this ribosomal RNA (434 nucleotides) under uncultured bacterium. RNAcentral describes it as "bacterial SSU rRNA". It matches the Rfam family "Bacterial small subunit ribosomal RNA", at positions 28 to 445 of the family's 1533-position model. The record is from RNAcentral.